GUAGGUGGCAAGCGUUGUCCGGAAUUAUUGGGCGUAAAGCGCGCGCAGGCGGUUCUUUAAGUCUGAUGUGAAAGCCCACGGGCUCAACCGUGGAGGGUCAUUGGAAACUGGAGAACUUGAGUACAGAAGAGGAAAGCGGAAUUCCACGUGUAGCGGUGAAAUGCGUAGAGAUGUGGAGGAACACCAGUGGCGAAGGCGGCUUUCUGGUCUGUAACUGACGCUGAGGCGCGAAAGCGUGGGGAGCAAACAGGAUUAGAUACCCUGGUAGUCCACGCCGUAAACGAUGAGUGCUAAGUGUUAGGGGGUUUCCGCCCCUUAGUGCUGCAGCAAACGCAUUAAGCACUCCGCCUGGGGAGUACGGCCGCAAAGGCUG
Molecule: ribosomal RNA, 373 nt
Filed under: uncultured organism
Description: partial 16S ribosomal RNA
Rfam family: Bacterial small subunit ribosomal RNA
Source: RNAcentral